UGCACAGACUCAUUGGACAAAGU
RNAcentral lists this non-coding RNA (23 nucleotides) under Rattus norvegicus (Norway rat). Lineage: Eukaryota; Metazoa; Chordata; Mammalia; Rodentia; Muridae. The record is from RNAcentral.